GCGCCCGUAGCUCAGCCAGGAUAGAGCAGCGGUUUCCUAAACCGCGUGUCAGAGGUUCAAAUCCUCUCGGGCGUA
Molecule: transfer RNA, 75 nt
Filed under: candidate division NPL-UPA2 bacterium Unc8
Lineage: Bacteria
Description: tRNA-Arg
Rfam family: tRNA
About the family: Transfer RNA (tRNA) molecules are approximately 80 nucleotides in length. Their secondary structure includes four short double-helical elements and three loops (D, anti-codon, and T loops). Further hydrogen bonds mediate the characteristic L-shaped molecular structure. tRNAs have two regions of fundamental functional importance: the anti-codon, which is responsible for specific mRNA codon recognition, and the 3' end, to which the tRNAs corresponding amino acid is attached (by aminoacyl-tRNA synthetases). tRNAs cope with the degeneracy of the genetic code in two manners: having more than one tRNA (with a specific anti-codon) for a particular amino acid; and 'wobble' base-pairing, i.e. permitting non-standard base-pairing at the 3rd anti-codon position.
Source: RNAcentral